Molecule: ribosomal RNA, 207 nt
Filed under: uncultured bacterium
Lineage: Bacteria
Description: partial 16S ribosomal RNA
Rfam family: Bacterial small subunit ribosomal RNA
Source: RNAcentral
GGACUGCAGCCUGCAACCCGGCCUGCACGAAGUCGGAAUUGCUAGUAAUCGCGGAUCAGCAUGCCGCGGUGAAUACGUUCCCGGGCCUUGUACACACCGCCCGUCACACCAUGAGAGUCGGGAACACCCGAAGUCCGUAGUCUAACCGCAAGGAGGACGCGGCCGAAGGUGGGCUUGAUAAUUGGGGUGAAGUCGUAACAAGGUAAC